This 330-nucleotide ribosomal RNA is filed under the name uncultured bacterium. RNAcentral describes it as "bacterial SSU rRNA". It matches the Rfam family "Bacterial small subunit ribosomal RNA", at positions 568 to 898 of the family's 1533-position model. The record is from RNAcentral.
CGCGUAGGCGGUUUUAAGUCAGAUGUGUAAUCCCCGAGCUUAACUUGGGAACUGCAUCUGAGACUGGAAGGCUAGAGUACUGGAGAGGGUGGUGGAAUUCCUCGUGUAGCGGUGAAAUGCGUAGAGAUGAGGAGGAACACCAGUGGCGAAGGCGGCCACCUGGACAGUAACUGACGCUGAGGCGCGAAAGUGUGGGUAGCAAACAGGAUUAGAUACCCUGGUAGUCCACGCUGUAAACGAUGAACACUUGGCGUGGAGGGAGUUGACCCCUUCCGUGCCGGAGCUAACGCGUUAAGUGUUCCGCCUGGGGAGUACGGUCGCAAGGCUGAA